Juglans microcarpa x Juglans regia is the source of this 188-nucleotide long non-coding RNA. RefSeq lists it as uncharacterized. The record is from RefSeq and is a predicted model, not a curated record. The transcript has 4 exons. Lineage: Eukaryota; Viridiplantae; Streptophyta; Magnoliopsida; Fagales; Juglandaceae.
AGAAAAAAAAGAGGAGAGAGAGAGAACACCACGACACUCAUACAUAACCAAGCCUUUGACAACACGCAAGUAUGGUGCAUACAUAAGCUGCCACAACCACAUCGAUAUCGAUAUCGAGAUUCAGAAGUACCAUUCCCUUAUGUAAUAUGUAUCACUACCAACUCCACUACUUGCCAUGCUAUGAAAAU